AAAUUGAAGAGUUUGAUCAUGGCUCAGAUUGAACGCUGGCGGCAGGCCUAACACAUGCAAGUCGAACGGUAACAGGAAGCAGCUUGCUGCUUUGCUGACGAGUGGCGGACGGGUGAGUAAUGUCUGGGAAACUGCCUGAUGGAGGGGGAUAACUACUGGAAACGGUGGCUAAUACCGCAUAACGUCGCAAGACCAAAGAGGGGGACCUUCGGGCCUCUUGCCAUCAGAUGUGCCCAGAUGGGAUUAGCUUGUUGGUGAGGUAACGGCUCACCAAGGCGACGAUCCCUAGCUGGUCUGAGAGGAUGACCAGCCACACUGGAACUGAGAUACGGUCCAGACUCCUACGGGAGGCAGCAGUGGGGAAUAUUGCACAAUGGGCGCAAGCCUGAUGCAGCCAUGCCGCGUGUAUGAAGAAGGCCUUCGGGUUGUAAAGUACUUUCAGCGGGGAGGAAGGUGUUG
Molecule: ribosomal RNA, 459 nt
Filed under: Salmonella enterica
Lineage: Bacteria; Pseudomonadati; Pseudomonadota; Gammaproteobacteria; Enterobacterales; Enterobacteriaceae
Also listed under: 1 other name
Description: partial 16S ribosomal RNA
Rfam family: Bacterial small subunit ribosomal RNA
Source: RNAcentral